Molecule: ribosomal RNA, 301 nt
Filed under: uncultured bacterium
Lineage: Bacteria
Description: partial 16S ribosomal RNA
Rfam family: Bacterial small subunit ribosomal RNA
Source: RNAcentral
CAGUAGCCGCGGGAAUACGAAGGGGGCUAGCGUUGCUCGGAAUCACUGGGCGUAAAGGGUGCGUAGGCGGGUCUUUAAGUCAGAGGUGAAAUCCUGGAGCUCAACUCCAGAACUGCCUUUGAUACUGAGGAUCUUGAGUUCGGGAGAGGUGAGUGGAACUGCGAGUGUAGAGGUGAAAUUCGUAGAUAUUCGCAAGAACACCAGUGGCGAAGGCGGCUCACUGGCCCGAUACUGACGCUGAGGCACGAAAGCGUGGGGAGCAAACAGGAUUAGAUACCCCCGUAGUCCCUGUCUCUUAUAC